This 465-nucleotide ribosomal RNA is filed under the name Vreelandella stevensii. Its description in RNAcentral is "partial 16S ribosomal RNA". It matches the Rfam family "Bacterial small subunit ribosomal RNA", at positions 338 to 795 of the family's 1533-position model. The record is from RNAcentral. Lineage: Bacteria; Pseudomonadati; Pseudomonadota; Gammaproteobacteria; Oceanospirillales; Halomonadaceae.
CCUACGGGUGGCUGCAGUGGGGAAUAUUGGACAAUGGGCGAAAGCCUGAUCCAGCCAUGCCGCGUGUGUGAAGAAGGCCUUCGGGUUGUAAAGCACUUUCAGUGGGGAAGAAAGCCUUGGGGCUAAUACCCUCGAGGAAGGACAUCACCCACAGAAGAAGCCCCGGCUAACUCCGUGCCAGCAGCCGCGGUAAUACGGAGGGUGCGAGCGUUAAUCGGAAUUACUGGGCGUAAAGCGCGCGUAGGCGGUCUGAUAAGCCGGUUGUGAAAGCCCCGGGCUCAACCUGGGAACGGCAUCCGGAACUGUCAGGCUAGAGUGCAGGAGAGGAAGGUAGAAUUCCCGGUGUAGCGGUGAAAUGCGUAGAGAUCGGGAGGAAUACCAGUGGCGAAGGCGGCCUUCUGGACUGACACUGACGCUGAGGUGCGAAAGCGUGGGUAGCAAACAGGAUUAGAUACCCCGGUAGUC